AGUGUGGGCAGUCUGCCUCCAGGAGAGAGCGCCUCCAUCAGGCUGGAGUACGUCACUGAGCUGGCUGUGCAGGCUGAUGACGGGCUGAGGUUUUGUCUGCCUGCUGUGCUCAACCCUCACUACCAACCUCAGGCCAGUAUGUUGAUCAGGAACCCUCAGUCUUCAGUUUUAGUGCACAUCACACCUGUUUAAACAGUGUUUUAUUACACCAGUCACAUGCCCAUCCUCUUACAAAAUGCUUUUUUCUCUACUCUGAGCAAACAGUGUCUGGAAACUUCUGUUAUGGGCCAUAAACAGUUUUUCAGCUUCCCAAAAUGUACAGUGUGACCACAGAACCAGACAUGACACUUCUGGUACAUAGAACAAAGUAGGUCUCUGCCAAAACUGGCACUCUGAUGGGUGACCCAGUAGUGAUGCUCAGCCUGUACCCUGAGUUCCCUCAGGCUGUGAUGUCUUCAGUCAUUUCGUGUGAAGAGUUUGUGUUUUUACUGGAUCGAUCUGGGAGCAUGGAUUGUUGUACCAACAACAGCAAGCCGCAAGAAACUCGCAUUCGUAGUGCCAGGGUAUUCAGCUAGUGUUAACUUCAUCCUAAAGUCACUGAUAUUGUCCCUCUCACACAAAAAUCUUCACUCUCAUUUUUCUCUUAAUGUUACGUCCAUGGCCCAGGCCACCCCCAGCAACUCCAGCACCUCAUUAGCUGGCAGAGGUAGUCCCGGCAGCUCCACCCCCACACAGGUGGGAGCGUGUUCCAGGUGGCAAGGCACACUUGCUCUCAAUUAUCAGAGCAGUAUUUAAGGCGAGCGUUGGUGUGUCCUCAUCGCCAGAUGAUCUCCUGUAACCCUGCUGGUGGCGUUGCCUUAGAUUCAUGUCUAGAGCCUAAGUGGAUGAGCUGCUUCCCUGUUUUUGAGGCUGACCUUAUAUUGUGGAACUAUACUUUCUACUUUUGAAUAUUUUUGCGUCGUUGUUUUUUGAAGGGUUGCUUUGUGUUUGGAACUGUGUUCACCUCUAUCGGGUUGGCUUCGGCCGUUUUUGUUUUUUCUUUCCUCACUGCCAAAUGGGGCCGGGACUCUAGGCAGAGCUCCUCAGUGCAAGGAGGCCUGCUCUUGCUGUGGUUCUGGAUCUCUACUGUUACCUUCGUCUCAUCAUCCUACUGACUGCUCUGUUGUGGUUCAGCUUACCGGACCAGCGAUCUCCUGCCCAGAGCCGGCACACUCAGCUAAUCAGCAAGCUGCACCUCGCCUCCUGUCCCGGGUUGCAUCUCCAGCAGUCCAGUCCCGCCAGCGAUCCCAGCUGCCCCGCGACCGGCUGAAGAGACCAGCUUGGUCAACUUCCCCUCUAUACAUUCAUUAAAAUAUACAUGCACUUUAUAUAGCCUGAGUCCGAGUCCUGCAUGUUUCUGAGUCCGAUCCCGCACUACCAA
Molecule: long non-coding RNA, 1420 nt
Organism: Monopterus albus (swamp eel)
Lineage: Eukaryota; Metazoa; Chordata; Actinopteri; Synbranchiformes; Synbranchidae
Exons: 3
Source: RefSeq, a predicted model, not a curated record